Molecule: ribosomal RNA, 465 nt
Filed under: Vreelandella stevensii
Lineage: Bacteria; Pseudomonadati; Pseudomonadota; Gammaproteobacteria; Oceanospirillales; Halomonadaceae
Description: partial 16S ribosomal RNA
Rfam family: Bacterial small subunit ribosomal RNA
Source: RNAcentral
CCUACGGGAGGCAGCAGUGGGGAAUAUUGGACAAUGGGGGCAACCCUGAUCCAGCCAUGCCGCGUGUGUGAAGAAGGCCCUCGGGUUGUAAAGCACUUUCAGUGAGGAAGAACGCCUGGUGGUUAAUACCCAUCAGGAAAGACAUCACUCACAGAAGAAGCACCGGCUAACUCCGUGCCAGCAGCCGCGGUAAUACGGAGGGUGCGAGCGUUAAUCGGAAUUACUGGGCGUAAAGCGCGCGUAGGUGGCUUGAUAAGCCGGUUGUGAAAGCCCCGGGCUCAACCUGGGAACGGCAUCCGGAACUGUCAAGCUAGAGUGCAGGAGAGGAAGGUAGAAUUCCCGGUGUAGCGGUGAAAUGCGUAGAGAUCGGGAGGAAUACCAGUGGCGAAGGCGGCCUUCUGGACUGACACUGAGACUGAGGUGCGAAAGCGUGGGUAGCAAACAGGAUUAGAUACCCUGGUAGUC